CCCUACGGGGGGCAGCAGUGGGGAAUAUUGCACAAUGGGGGAAACCCUGAUGCAGCGACGCCGCGUGAGCGAUGAAGUAUCUCGGUAUGUAAAGCUCUAUCAGCAGGGAAGAAAGUGACAGUACCUGACUAAGAAGCCCCGGCUAACUACGUGCCAGCAGCCGCGGUAAUACAUAGGGAGCGAGCGUUAUCCGGAUUUAUUGGGUGUAAAGGGUGCGUAGACGGGAAUACAAGUUGGUUGUGAAAGCCCUCGGCUUAACUGAGGAACUGCAACCAAAACUAUAUUUCUUGAGUAUCGGAGAGGAA
Molecule: ribosomal RNA, 305 nt
Filed under: uncultured bacterium
Lineage: Bacteria
Description: bacterial SSU rRNA
Rfam family: Bacterial small subunit ribosomal RNA
Source: RNAcentral